AUGAGAUUCUUAAUUACACUUCAUGUGAAAAAGAGGGUGGGGGUAGUUCUGAAACUUGACUUUGAAAAGGCUUGUGAUAAAGUGAAUUGGGACUUUAUUCUAGAAUGCCACAAGUUACGAGGCUUUAAUGAUACAUGGUGUGGGUGGAUUAAAAAGAUACUGCAUAAUGGGACUGUGAGCAUCAAGUUAAACAACCAGGUGGGCCCAUACUUUCAAAGUGCGAAGGGGGUCCGCCAAGGCGAUCCCCAUUCCUCAUUCCUGUUCAAUUUAGCUGUGGAUUGCCUGGCAAAAAUGAUCAAUAAUGCCCAAAAGUGUGGCAUGUUAGUAGGCAUGGCUGCUGAUCUAAUACCUAAUGGGGUAGCAGUGCUCCAAUAUGCUGAUGAUACUAUUAUUUGCCUUGAACAUGACUUUGACAAAGCAGUUAACUUGAAAAUGUUGUUGUACAUCUUCGAGCUGAUGUCGGGGCUUAAGGUGAAUUUCCAAAAGAGUGAGAUUCUUACUAGGGGGGGGUGA
This 513-nucleotide ribosomal RNA is filed under the name Triticum aestivum (bread wheat). RNAcentral's name for it is "partial small subunit ribosomal RNA". Lineage: Eukaryota; Viridiplantae; Streptophyta; Magnoliopsida; Poales; Poaceae. The record is from RNAcentral.